This 467-nucleotide ribosomal RNA is filed under the name uncultured bacterium. RNAcentral's name for it is "partial 16S ribosomal RNA". It matches the Rfam family "Bacterial small subunit ribosomal RNA", at positions 28 to 506 of the family's 1533-position model. The record is from RNAcentral.
GACGAACGCUGGCGGCGUGCUUAACACAUGCAAGUCGAACGGAAAGGCCCUGCUUUUGUGGGGUGCUCGAGUGGCGAACGGGUGAGUAACACGUGAGUAACCUGCCCUUGACUUUGGGAUAACUUCAGGAAACUGGGGCUAAUACCGGAUAGGAGCUCCUGCUGCAUGGUGGGGGUUGGAAAGUUUCGGCGGUUGGGGAUGGACUCGCGGCUUAUCAGCUUGUUGGUGGGGUAGUGGCUUACCAAGGCUUUGACGGGUAGCCGGCCUGGGAGGGUGACCGGCCACAUUGGGACUGAGAUACGGCCCAGACUCCUACGGGAGGCAGCAGUGGGGAAUAUUGCACAAUGGGCGGAGGCCUGAUGCAGCAACGCCGCGUGCGGGAUGACGGCCUUCGGGUUGUAAACCGCUUUCGCCUGUGACGAAGCGUGAGUGACGGUAAUGGGGAAAGAAGCACCGGCUAACUACGU